RNAcentral lists this long non-coding RNA (2989 nucleotides) under Homo sapiens (human). Its description in RNAcentral is "EIF5 divergent transcript (EIF5-DT)". The record is from RNAcentral. Lineage: Eukaryota; Metazoa; Chordata; Mammalia; Primates; Hominidae.
ACGCGGCGGCCGCCGCCAUCUUGUGCGGCCGCCAUCUCCUGGCCCGCCGCGCCCGCGACUCACCGUUUUCGUCAAAUAAAGACAUAAACCCAACGCUGCUCGCCCGGGACUGGGAUGAAGUGAGGCGCGAUAUAAACCCGAGUCCGAGUCCGAGGAGGCGGAGGCGAAGCGCAGCGAGGAGCGGCCGGGCCAGGUGCCGCCGCCGAGCAGCGGGGAGGGGCUGUCCCAGCGACGUCCGCGGUCCACACCCGUCAGCGCCGGAGCUGGGCGACCUGGCGCGGAGAGACGGCGCCGUGAGCCGUGGGCGGUCGGGGAGUGCACCUUCCCCGCCAGCCAGCGGCCCGAGGGGUCGAGGGGGCGGGAAGCACCGGGCAGGGGGCCGCCCCUUCACCGGACUCACCUCUGGAAUGUUCUCGCUCUGACUGAACAACGCCGCCGCCGCGCUCAAGCUACCCUCGGCCCCAGCGUCCGCCCCCCGCGUCAGGCCUCACUGCCCAUUGGCUGGAGGCCUGCCACAGCUCGCUCGUCAUUGGUUCGCUUGCGACGUCAAUCGCAUCUUUCCGCGCCCCUUCUGCUUCCUGAGGCUCAACUCGCGGCCUCGGCCCGCCUCCAGCCCCGGUCUCGCUUCCUUCCUCUCCCCUCCCCCCGCCUUUCCCAGAGGUCUUCGCGGCGCAGCCCUUGGGUCUCGCGAGACCCGGAGUGGCCCUGGUGGCGGGGCCGGGGUACCGGGGGCCGUUCUUUGUCGGUUUGGGCCUUGAGGGGGAGAUGGUGGUUGGUCCCCUCCCUCGCCGGGUCUGGGACAGGCCGCGGCGUCAUGGCGACUCCCGGGACGCAGGAGCCAUCGUCCUCGAAACUGCUUUCGAGGCCGUGUUUUUGCGGCUGCCACCUUCGGGGAGAGGAACCCGACCGCGUUCUCCCCGCAGCGGGCGCUCAUCUCCCUUUCCCGUUCUCCCGGGACGCCCGACUCCGGGCCUCGAGGAAUGAGUUGUUUUUCCACCUUAAGCCCCAGGCCUGGGUCUUUCAUCCCAGGGACGUCUUCUGUUUCGGACUCGGGGUGGAUUGGCCGCUGGCGGAACGAGUCCGUGACUCGCCAGUGACCGCCCAGGGCGGUCGCGAGGCCGCGCCGCCUCGGUGUCGGCCCGCAACCCAGCCUGCGCGCUUAGCUCAGCGCGUCGCCUCCCGUUUUCGGAAGAGGAGGCCCUUAAUUGGUUUGGAAUCCUGGGGCCUCCUGAAGGCGCUUCGUGGUGGGUUCCCACCUUCUGGUGAAGGCCUCCCUGCUCUCCCAGGGUUGAAAAGCGCUAUCCUUCGUGCUUCUCUUGUCACCUUUCUCCUAGUGGGCAUCACGUCGAGUCCACCCCCUCUAGUUUAUGACUUGUGAAUUCUUUGAUAAGCAAAUCGUAGCCCAGAGCAGGCAUUUAUAAUGAGAUUCCAAUGUAUUCCGUUGAAAAUUACUAUUAUUUAGGCCGGUCGCGGUGGCUCACGUCUGUAAUCCCAGCACUUUGGGAGGCUGAGGUGGGCGGAUCACCUGAGGUCGGGAAUUUGAGACCAGCCUGGCCAAUAUGGUGGAACCCUGUCUCUACUAAAAAUACAAAAAAUUAGCUGGGCGUGGUGGCUCGCUUGUAAUCCCAGCUACUCGGGAGGCUGAGGCAGGAGAAUCCUUGAACCCGGGAGGCACAGGUUACAGUGAGCCGAGAUCACACCACUGCACUCCAGCCUGGACAACAGAGCGAGACUGUCUCCAAAAAAAAAAAAAAAGAAAAUUUUUAUUAUUUAGAGAGAGGCUCUCAUAUUUUAGUUCUGUUGAAACUCUCCCAUUCUUUCUGAAACUUGGAUUUUUUUUGUGAAAACUUGAGUCUUAAAAACACAUCCAUAGUUCACCCUGAAGUUUGAAGACCUCACUUGACUGAUGGAGCGAGAGCCCCGCUAACCUGCACUCUGGUCUCUAAGGUGCAGUCAUCGAGAAGUCCUGAGCGGCCGUGCAGGUUUCCCGAUCUGGAAAAGAGAAAUGUUGCUGAGGACAGGAUGAGGUAGAUAAGGGGCUGCCCUUUGUUUUGGACCAGUUGCAUUUGCACUGAGGUUAGAAUUGGCAGCUAUGUUGAUUUUUAUAUCAAAAUCCAAGAUCGUGCUUCCAUAACUAAAAGCUUUAUAAACAACUUAAAAAUUGGCAGUGUUGGUAGGAAGAAAUAAAGGCACAAUCCAGAAUUGAGAGGUGAUUUGUGUCCUUUAGGGCAGGGACUUUUAUAAUCCCGCAGUGUGUACCUUGGUGUAUAGUUGUUAAGCCAAGUGCACAGUGCCUUGUGAGUACCAGGGUUCCCAUCAGACAAACUAGAAAAGGGGAUCCCAGACAUGCUGCUGCUGUUUCACUGUGGAGCAUGACUUAGCAGUAUUGAAACAGAUCUGACUUUUUGCUUGGCAGCACAAAAAUGAUGUUAUUUUAGAAACUCUGUUGGAAAGUAUAGGCAUGAAACUAGUCUGAGGUGAGAGGCCUGCCUUUUCAGAAAAGUUUUAAUGAAACACGAAGUAAUUAGCUUUUUUGUAUGUUUAGUGGCACAAUUUUUAAUUUCGUUGAAGUUUGUAAUAAUUUUAACUGCUUUUUAAUAUGUGUACCACUCAUUUGUAUGCAACCAUGGACAACUUAAAAAAAUACUUUUGUGUUCUUUUUCUCCCUUUUAUUUUUAGUUAAUACAUAAUAACACAUUUGUGGGAUACAAAGUGAUAUUUCAGUACAUGUAUACAACGUGUAAUGAUCAAAGCACAGUAAUCAGCAUAUCCAUCACCUCAGAUGUUUAUCAUUUCUUUGUGUUGGGAACAUUCAGAAUUCUCUCUUCUAGCUUUUUGAAAAUAUACAAUAGAUUGUUGUUAAGUAUAUUUACCUUGAAAUACUACAGAGCACUAGAACUUAUUGAGCUGCAAUUUUGUAUCAACCUCUCCCUCUCCUCUCCUCCCACUAGCCUUCCCAGCUUCUAAUAAACCACAAUUCAAGUCUCUA